This is a long non-coding RNA of Rhipicephalus microplus (southern cattle tick), 316 nucleotides long. The record is from RefSeq and is a predicted model, not a curated record. NCBI's taxonomy places the organism in Eukaryota, Metazoa, Arthropoda, Arachnida, Ixodida, Ixodidae.
GUUAACCAGCUGGUGGAAUCUCCUUUUGAAAUCGUCCACGACAACUCCUCCCAUGACAGAUUUAGCCCUGAGGUCAGCAGCAACGCAACUCAAGAUAUUGCAGCAGUUGAUAAUGGCUUCCCUGGAACUACAUGUCAACCGGCGAUGAACGCAACCAGUACUGCACGACCUGUGCUUUACACUUCGUGCCAAGAAGCAAUCCAGGGACGAAUUGCGGAGCUCGAACGUCUACAGGAAGCUACCGCGAGGAAACUGGCGCUCGCUAGGAAGAGGUAUCUUAAAAGCGAAGAAGAAAAGGAAGAAAUCAAGAAAAGGC